This 1346-nucleotide ribosomal RNA is filed under the name uncultured bacterium. Its description in RNAcentral is "partial 16S ribosomal RNA". It matches the Rfam family "Bacterial small subunit ribosomal RNA", at positions 28 to 1381 of the family's 1533-position model. The record is from RNAcentral.
GACGAACGCUGGCGGCGUGCUUAACACAUGCAAGUCGAACGGAAAGGCCCUGCUUUUGUGGGGUGCUCGAGUGGCGAACGGGUGAGUAACACGUGAGUAACCUGCCCUUGACUUUGGGAUAACUUCAGGAAACUGGGGCUAAUACCGGAUAGGAGCUCCUGCUGCAUGGUGGGGGUUGGAAAGUUUCGGCGGUUGGGGAUGGACUCGCGGCUUAUCAGCUUGUUGGUGGGGUAGUGGCUUACCAAGGCUUUGACGGGUAGCCGGCCUGAGAGGGUGACCGGCCACAUUGGGACUGAGAUACGGCCCAGACUCCUACGGGAGGCAGCAGUGGGGAAUAUUGCACAAUGGGCGGAAGCCUGAUGCAGCAACGCCGCGUGCGGGAUGACGGCCUUCGGGUUGUAAACCGCUUUCGCCUGUGACGAAGCGUAAGUGACGGUAAUGGGUAAAGAAGCACCGGCUAACUACGUGCCAGCAGCCGCGGUGAUACGUAGGGUGCGAGCGUUGUCCGGAUUUAUUGGGCGUAAAGGGCUCGUAGGUGGUUGAUCGCGUCGGAAGUGUAAUCUUGGGGCUUAACCCUGAGCGUGCUUUCGAUACGGGUUGACUUGAGGAAGGUAGGGGAGAAUGGAAUUCCUGGUGGAGCGGUGGAAUGCGCAGAUAUCAGGAGGAACACCAGUGGCGAAGGCGGUUCUCUGGGCCUUUCCUGACGCUGAGGAGCGAAAGCGUGGGGAGCGAACAGGCUUAGAUACCCUGGUAGUCCACGCUGUAAACGGUGGGUACUAGGUGUGGGGUCCAUUCCACGGGUUCCGUGCCGUAGCUAACGCUUUAAGUACCCCGCCUGGGGAGUACGGCCGCAAGGCUAAAACUCAAAGGAAUUGGCGGGGCCCCGCACAAGCGGCGGAGCAUGCGGAUUAAUUCGAUGCAACGCGUAGAACCUUACCUGGGUUUGACAUGGAUCGGGAGUGCUCAGAGAUGGGUGUGCCUCUUUUGGGGUCGGUUCACAGGUGGUGCAUGGCUGUCGUCAGCUCGUGUCGUGAGAUGUUGGGUUAAGUCCCGCAACGAGCGCAACCCUUGUUCACUGUUGCCAGCACGUUAUGGUGGGGACUCAGUGGAGACCGCCGGGGUCAACUCGGAGGAAGGUGGGGAUGACGUCAAGUCAUCAUGCCCCUUAUGUCCAGGGCUUCACGCAUGCUACAAUGGCUGGUACAGAGAGUGGCGAGCCUGUGAGGGUGAGCGAAUCUCGGAAAGCCGGUCUCAGUUCGGAUUGGGGUCUGCAACUCGACCUCAUGAAGUCGGAGUCGCUAGUAAUCGCAGAUCAGCAACGCUGCGGUGAAUACGUUCCCGGGGCU